AGCAGCCGCGGUAAUUCCAGCUCCAAUAGCGUAUAUUAAAGUUGUUGCAGUUAAAAAGCUCGUAGUUGAAUUUUAGGCCUGGCCGGGCGGUCCGUCUUUGGCGAGUACUGUCUGCUGUCGGGUCUUCCUUCUGGUGAGCCAGCAUGUCCUUUAUUGGGUGUGUUGGGGAGCCAGGACCAUUACCUUGAAAAAAUUAGAGUGUUUAAAGCGGGCUAUUGCUUGAAUAGAUUAGCAUGGAAUAAUAGAAUAGGACGUUGUGGUUCUAUUUUGUUGGUUUCUAGGACCACCGUAAUGAUUAAUAGGGAUAGUUGGGGGCAUUAGUAUUCAAUUGUCAGAGGUGAAAUUCUUGGAUUUAUUGAAGACUAACUACUGCGAAAGCAUUUGCCAAGGAUGUUUUCAUUAAUCAAGAACGAAAGUUAGGGGAUCGAAGACGAUCAGAUACCGUCGUAGUCUUAACCAUAAACUAUGCCGACUAGGAAUCGGGCGACGUUAUUUUAAUGACUCGCUCGGCGCCUUAUG
This 519-nucleotide ribosomal RNA is filed under the name uncultured fungus. Its description in RNAcentral is "SSU rRNA". It matches the Rfam family "Eukaryotic small subunit ribosomal RNA", at positions 569 to 1092 of the family's 1831-position model. The record is from RNAcentral. Lineage: Eukaryota; Fungi.